AGAAAAGCUUUCUAGGGUUCCGUGGCAACAAUGCCAGUCUGGUCCGAGAGAAAGCGCACAGUAAGCUGUGUACACGGAAGGAUAAAAGCCUGGGAGUA
Molecule: small RNA, 98 nt
Filed under: Pelosinus sp. UFO1
Lineage: Bacteria; Bacillati; Bacillota; Negativicutes; Selenomonadales; Sporomusaceae
Also listed under: 1 other name
Description: Guanidine-I riboswitch aptamer
Rfam family: Guanidine-I riboswitch aptamer
About the family: This family represents a conserved RNA structure found upstream of the ykkC and yxkD genes in Bacillus subtilis and related genes in other bacteria.
Source: Rfam by way of RNAcentral